RNAcentral lists this ribosomal RNA (465 nucleotides) under Vreelandella stevensii. RNAcentral describes it as "partial 16S ribosomal RNA". It matches the Rfam family "Bacterial small subunit ribosomal RNA", at positions 338 to 795 of the family's 1533-position model. The record is from RNAcentral. Lineage: Bacteria; Pseudomonadati; Pseudomonadota; Gammaproteobacteria; Oceanospirillales; Halomonadaceae.
CCUACGGGGAGCAGCAGUGGGGAAUAUUGGACAAUGGGCGAAAGCCUGAUCCAGCCAUGCCGCGUGUGUGAAGAAGGCCUUCGGGUUGUAAAGCACUUUCAGUGGGGAAGAAAGCCUUGGGGCUAAUACCCUCGAGGAAGGACAUCACCCACAGAAGAAGCACCGGCUAACUCCGUGCCAGCAGCCGCGGUAAUACGGAGGGUGCGAGCGUUAAUCGGAAUUACUGGGCGUAAAGCGCGCGUAGGCGGUCUGAUAAGCCGGUUGUGAAAGCCCCGGGCUCAACCUGGGAACGGCAUCCGGAACUGUCAGGCUAGAGUGCAGGAGAGGAAGGUAGAAUUCCCGGUGUAGCGGUGAAAUGCGUAGAGAUCGGGAGGAAUACCAGUGGCGAAGGCGGCCUUCUGGACUGACACUGACGCUGAGGUGCGAAAGCGUGGGUAGCAAACAGGAUUAGCUACCCCGGUAGUC